AGUGAACGCUGGCGGUAGGCCUAACACAUGCAAGUCGAACGGCAGCACAGUAAGAGCUUGCUCUUACGGGUGGCGAGUGGCGGACGGGUGAGGAAUACAUCGGAAUCUACUUUUUCGUGGGGGAUAACGUAGGGAAACUUACGCUAAUACCGCAUACGACCUACGGGUGAAAGCAGGGGAUCUUCGGACCUUGCGCGAUUGAAUGAGCCGAUGUCGGAUUAGCUAGUUGGCGGGGUAAAGGCCCACCAAGGCGACGAUCCGUAGCUGGUCUGAGAGGAUGAUCAGCGACACUGGAACUGAGACACGGUCCAGACUCCUACGGGAGGCAGCAGUGUGGAAUAUUGGACAAUGGGCGCAAGCCUGAUCCAGCCAUACCGCGUGGGUGAAGAAGGCCUUCGGGUUGUAAAGCCCUUUUGUUGGGAAAGAAAAGCAGCAGGUUAAUACCCCGCUGUUCUGACGGUACCCAAAGAAUAAGCACCGGCUAACUUCGUG
Molecule: ribosomal RNA, 492 nt
Filed under: uncultured bacterium
Lineage: Bacteria
Description: partial 16S ribosomal RNA
Rfam family: Bacterial small subunit ribosomal RNA
Source: RNAcentral